Molecule: long non-coding RNA, 596 nt
Filed under: Helianthus annuus (common sunflower)
Lineage: Eukaryota; Viridiplantae; Streptophyta; Magnoliopsida; Asterales; Asteraceae
Source: RNAcentral
GACCAUCGAUUUCACUUGAGAAUGACGAAUACGGCAUUAAGAGAGAAAGACGGAGCAAGAAAAGAAAUGAUCCGGUGAAGCCGGUGCACAUUAGCGGCAUAACUACAGGUUUGAUGUUGAUUGAAGUUUUUUAAGCCAAAAUUAGGGUUGGUUAACUAGCGUUAUUUGAUAAGAACAAGCGUAAUUUUUGGUUGAUUCAUUGAUAUGUAGUAGCGGGAUUAGCAGGCUUAACAUUAGAUGAUGAUGAUUCUUUUGAAUGAACUAGCGGUAUUAGGUUACAUUGUGAAAUUGGGAAUUUUACCACUAGAUAUUGGGGCGUCUGAUCUAAUUGUGAAAUUGUAUCGUUUGAGCUAACAAAACGACAUUAGCAUGAUUGAUAUCUAAUAUUGAAUUAGGUUACAUUGUGAAUUGGGAAAUUUACAAGUUAAAAAUAUGAAACUUUUAAUAUUGGGGCUUCUGCGGUAAUUGUGAAAUUGGAGUUCUAGAGGUAACAAGCGGCAUUAGCAUGAUUGCUAUUACAUAUGUUAACAAGCGGCAUUAGCAUGAUUGCUAUUACAUAUGUUAACAAGCGGCAUUAGCAUGAUUCUUUGCUUGAU